ACGGGGUGCAGCAGGCGCGAAAACUUUGCAAUGCGGGAAACCGUGACAAGGGAACUCCGAGUGCCCGUAAAUUCGGGCUGUCCAUCAGUGUAAAUAACUGGUGAAGAAAGGGCCGGGCAAGACCGGUGCCAGCCGCCGCGGUAAUACCGGCGGCUCGAGUGGUGGCCACUAUUACUGGGCUUAAAGCGUCCGUAGCUGGUCUGUUAAGUCUCUGGGGAAAUCUACCGGCUUAACCGGUAGGCGUCUCAGGGAUACUGGCAGACUAGGGACCGGGAGAGGUGAGGGGUACUCUAGGGGUAGGAGUGAAAUCCUGUAAUCCUUGGGGGACCACCUGUGGCGAAGGCGCCUCACCAGAACGGCUCCGACAGUGAGGGACGAAAGCUGGGGGAGCAAACCGGAUUAGAUACCCGGGUAGUCCCAGCCGUAAACGAUGCGCGUUAGGUGUAUCGGUGACCACGAGUCACCGAGGUGCCGAAGAGAAAUCGUGAAACGUGCCGCCUGGGAAGUACGGUCGCAAGGCUGAAACUUAAAGGAAUUGGCGGGGGAGCAC
This 550-nucleotide ribosomal RNA is filed under the name uncultured archaeon. RNAcentral's name for it is "bacterial SSU rRNA". It matches the Rfam family "Archaeal small subunit ribosomal RNA", at positions 325 to 879 of the family's 1478-position model. The record is from RNAcentral.